This 25-nucleotide ribosomal RNA is filed under the name Neckera decurrens. RNAcentral's name for it is "partial 18S ribosomal RNA". Lineage: Eukaryota; Viridiplantae; Streptophyta; Bryopsida; Hypnales; Neckeraceae. The record is from RNAcentral. RNAcentral also lists the same sequence under 1 other name.
UUGUGAACCUGCGGAAGGAUCAUUG